CGAAUAGAUUAGCAUGGCCCCUGUGGAAGGAUGACAUGCAAAUUUUUGAUGUAUUCCAUAUUAUU
This 65-nucleotide small nuclear RNA is filed under the name Nannospalax galili (Upper Galilee mountains blind mole rat). Lineage: Eukaryota; Metazoa; Chordata; Mammalia; Rodentia; Spalacidae. The record is from RNAcentral.